AGUGAACGCUGGCGGUAGGCCUAACACAUGCAAGUCGAACGGCAGCACAGGAGAGCUUGCUCUCUGGGUGGCGAGUGGCGGACGGGUGAGGAAUACAUCGGAAUCUACUUUUUCGUGGGGGAUAACGUAGGGAAACUUACGCUAAUACCGCAUACGACCUACGGGUGAAAGCAGGGGAUCUUCGGACCUUGCGCGAUUGAAUGAGCCGAUGUCGGAUUAGCUAGUUGGCGGGGUAAAGGCCCACCAAGGCGACGAUCCGUAGCUGGUCGUAGAGGAUGAUCAGCCACACUGGAACUGAGACACGGUCCAGACUCCUGCGGGAGGCAGCAGUGGGGAAUAUUGGACAAUGGGCGCAAGCCUGAUCCAGCCAUACCGCGUGGGUGAAGAAGGCCUUCGGGUUGUAAAGCCCUUUUGUUGGGAAAGAAAUCCAGCUGGUUAAUACCCGGUUGGGAUGACGGUACCCAAAGAAUAAGCACCGGCUAACUUCGUGCCAGCCGCCGCAGUAA
RNAcentral lists this ribosomal RNA (506 nucleotides) under uncultured bacterium. RNAcentral describes it as "partial 16S ribosomal RNA". It matches the Rfam family "Bacterial small subunit ribosomal RNA", at positions 29 to 523 of the family's 1533-position model. The record is from RNAcentral.